Molecule: ribosomal RNA, 283 nt
Filed under: uncultured bacterium
Lineage: Bacteria
Description: partial 16S ribosomal RNA
Rfam family: Bacterial small subunit ribosomal RNA
Source: RNAcentral
GUGGAUUAGAUACCCUGGUAGUCCACGCCUUAAACGAUGAAUACUAGACGUUGGGGUUAAACUCAGUGUCGCAGCUAACGCAUUAAGUAUUCCACCUGGGGAGUACGAUCGCAAGGUUGAAACUCAAAGGAAUUGACGGGGGCCCGCACAAGCAGUGGAGCAUGUGGUUCAAUUCGAUGCAACGCGAAGAACCUUACCUGGGCUUGACAUGAUAGCUAAAGCCGGUGAAAGCCGGUGUCCCGCAAGGGGAGCUAUUACAGAUGCUGCAUGGCCGUCGCCAGCU